RNAcentral lists this ribosomal RNA (406 nucleotides) under uncultured Alphaproteobacteria bacterium. RNAcentral describes it as "bacterial SSU rRNA". It matches the Rfam family "Bacterial small subunit ribosomal RNA", at positions 36 to 490 of the family's 1533-position model. The record is from RNAcentral. Lineage: Bacteria; Pseudomonadati; Pseudomonadota; Alphaproteobacteria.
CUGGCGGCAGGCCUAACACAUGCAAGUCGAGCGCGCCUUCGGGCGAGCGGCGGACGGGUUAGUAACGCGUGGGAACGUGCCCAGAUCUACGGAAUAGCCACUGGAAACGGUGAGUAAUACCGUAUACGCCCUUCGGGGGAAAGAUUUAUCGGAUUUGGAUCGGCCCGCGUUAGAUUAGGUAGUUGGUGGGGUAACGGCCUACCAAGCCUACGAUCUAUAGCUGGUUUUAGAGGAUGAUCAGCAACACUGGGACUGAGACACGGCCCAGACUCCUACGGGAGGCAGCAGUGGGGAAUCUUGGACAAUGGGGGCAACCCUGAUCCAGCCAUGCCGCGUGAGUGAAGAAGGCCCUAGGGUCGUAAAACUCUUUCGCCUGUGAUGAUAAUGACAGUAGCAGGUAAAGAAA